GUCGUGGUCGACUAUAAAAGCCCGACUGUUCACUGUUUUCUUUAGUUACGAAAAGUUCUUCAACCAUGUUCAAGUACCUAAAGAUUUCCGUUGCCCUUGCCUUCUGGAUGUCCAGCUUUCUUGUAGCUGUCCGUGCACGAGAUGAAACAACUACUACUACAGAGGAACCAACUAUUUGAAGACGUAGGAGAAUUAAAAAACCAUUUAUUACUGACAAUGCUAACGAAAAGGCCAUGCGACUGCACCACCUAAAUCAAAAUUUGCACUGGUAUUAAGUUAACUACAAACAUAAAAUUUAAAGCACA
Molecule: long non-coding RNA, 305 nt
Organism: Zophobas morio
Lineage: Eukaryota; Metazoa; Arthropoda; Insecta; Coleoptera; Tenebrionidae
Exons: 2
Source: RefSeq, a predicted model, not a curated record